ACAAGCGGUCGGAGCCGCGCAAGCGGUGACGGCGUGCCUUUUGCAUAAUGAACCUACGAGUUACCAUGUCCGGCAAGGUUUAGCGGUUCAGCCGCGCAGCCUCAGUGAAAGCGAGCCUGAAUAGGGCGUUUAAGUCGGAUGGGGUAGACGCGAAACCAAGUGAUCUACACUUGCCCAGGUUGAAGUUCCGGUAACACGGAAUGGAGGACCGAACCAAUAAGCGUUGAAAAGCUUCUGGAUGAG
This 243-nucleotide ribosomal RNA is filed under the name Prevotella corporis. RNAcentral describes it as "partial 23S ribosomal RNA". It matches the Rfam family "Bacterial large subunit ribosomal RNA", at positions 566 to 808 of the family's 2925-position model. The record is from RNAcentral. Lineage: Bacteria; Pseudomonadati; Bacteroidota; Bacteroidia; Bacteroidales; Prevotellaceae.